This is a non-coding RNA of Capsicum annuum, 195 nucleotides long. The record is from Rfam. NCBI's taxonomy places the organism in Eukaryota, Viridiplantae, Streptophyta, Magnoliopsida, Solanales, Solanaceae.
CUCCUUUUCUCGGCCUUUUGGCUAAAGAUCAAGUUUAGUAUCGGUUCUUAUCAGUUUAAUAUCUGAUAUGUGGACCAUUGGUCUUCCCUAUAUUAACUCUAUUUUUUGAGGGGAAGGUCCAUUAAGGUAGCUUGCUACCUGGGCCUUCGUGCGUUGCUAAGUGUUGCACUACUGCUUUUCCCUGGCGUGCCCCAC